UAGUAAUCCGCUCUGAUACCAACUGCCGUAACGGGAUUUCUCUCCAUCCUUCCGCGACUAAUACGCAUAGAAUCAACAAUUUUGUUUGAAAAAAAAUAAAAUAUUAUAAUUUUAUUUAUUUUUUUAAAUAAAUUUAACUAGUAAUGUGUAAUAAUUAGACUUUAAAUUUGAGAACUCGAAUACCAGCUAUCAAAUUCUUUGCUAACUGUGCUAGAUACGAUUGGUGCAAAGAAUCUGCAGCUUAUUUUGCAACCUAGUUUGAUACCAAUACUAAAAAUUCAAUACCUGUUGUGUAUAUAGCUGGCAGUUCAUCUUGUUGUUCGCGAGUUAAUUCGUGUUUGGCUGGAAAUGAGCUUAAGAUCGAUCGCUCGUUUAAUAAAUAAGCUGAAUAUGAGCUGGAAUUAGCUUGCUUGUGUUAGGCUCAAUAUAGCUCAAUGCUACUAUUUGGAUUUUAUGCCAACGCAAACAUAAAGAUGCCGAUGCUUUAAGUAAACAUGUUGGGAUAAAUAUACUAACACUUUAAUAUAACAUUGAAAAAUUUUUAUCAGUAUUUAAUAAAAAAUAUGUUUAUUGGCGAUACUUAAUUAUGAUACCGGCACAUACCAAAUUUUAAAGAUAUUGAAAUAAAAUAUCGUCUAAAAAGUGUCGACUAAAAUAUAUUUUAUU
RNAcentral lists this long non-coding RNA (666 nucleotides) under Ananas comosus (pineapple). RNAcentral describes it as "long non-coding RNA (ACOM_LNC011447)". Lineage: Eukaryota; Viridiplantae; Streptophyta; Magnoliopsida; Poales; Bromeliaceae. The record is from RNAcentral.